This 163-nucleotide non-coding RNA is filed under the name Tetranychus urticae (two-spotted spider mite). RNAcentral's name for it is "Eukaryotic large subunit ribosomal RNA". It matches the Rfam family "Eukaryotic large subunit ribosomal RNA", at positions 967 to 1121 of the family's 3401-position model. The record is from Rfam by way of RNAcentral. Lineage: Eukaryota; Metazoa; Arthropoda; Arachnida; Trombidiformes; Tetranychidae.
UUUCCCUCAGGAUAGCAGGCAGCAAUGGAAGUACCAGUAGCAUUCAGUAGAGCGGCUGAUUAGAGGUCUUGGGGCCGAAAUGACCUCAACCUAUUCUCAAACUCCUAAUGGGUGCGAAGUUCAACUUGUAACACUUUUAAAGCUGAACAUACUGUCACAGUCA